Molecule: transfer RNA, 87 nt
Filed under: Bacteroidales bacterium
Lineage: Bacteria; Pseudomonadati; Bacteroidota; Bacteroidia; Bacteroidales
Description: tRNA-Ser
Rfam family: tRNA
About the family: Transfer RNA (tRNA) molecules are approximately 80 nucleotides in length. Their secondary structure includes four short double-helical elements and three loops (D, anti-codon, and T loops). Further hydrogen bonds mediate the characteristic L-shaped molecular structure. tRNAs have two regions of fundamental functional importance: the anti-codon, which is responsible for specific mRNA codon recognition, and the 3' end, to which the tRNAs corresponding amino acid is attached (by aminoacyl-tRNA synthetases). tRNAs cope with the degeneracy of the genetic code in two manners: having more than one tRNA (with a specific anti-codon) for a particular amino acid; and 'wobble' base-pairing, i.e. permitting non-standard base-pairing at the 3rd anti-codon position.
Source: RNAcentral
GGAGAGAUGGCUGAGUGGUCGAAAGCGGCGGUCUUGAAAACCGUUGUGGGCGUGAGUUCACCGGGGGUUCGAAUCCCUCUCUCUCCG